GAUGAACGCUGGCGGCGUGCCUAAUACAUGCAAGUCGAGCGAACAGAUGAGGAGCUUGCUCCUCUGACGUUAGCGGCGGACGGGUGAGUAACACGUGGAUAACCUACCUAUAAGACUGGGAUAACUUCGGGAAACCGGAUCUAAUACCGGAUAAUAUAUUGAACCGCAUGGUUCAAUAGUGAAAGACGGUUUUGCUGUCACUAAUAGAUGGAUCCGCGCCGCAUUAGCUAGUUGGUAAGGUAACGGCUUACCAAGGCAACGAUGCGUAGCCGACCUGAGAGGGUGAUCAGCCACACUGGAACUGAGACACGGUCCAGACUCCUACGGGAGGCAGCAGUAGGGAAUCUUCCGCAAUGGGCGAAAGCCUGACGGAGCAACGCCGCGUGAGUGAUGAAGGUCUUCGGAUCGUAAAGCUCUGUUAUUAGGAAAGAACAAAUGUGUAAGUAACUAUGCACGUCUUGACGGUACCUAAUCAGAAAGCCACGGCUAACUACGUG
RNAcentral lists this ribosomal RNA (497 nucleotides) under uncultured bacterium. Its description in RNAcentral is "partial 16S ribosomal RNA". It matches the Rfam family "Bacterial small subunit ribosomal RNA", at positions 28 to 507 of the family's 1533-position model. The record is from RNAcentral.